GAUGAACGCUGACAGAAUGCUUAACACAUGCAAGUCAACUUGAACUUCGGUUUGGGUGGCGGACGGGUGAGUAACGCGUAGAGAACUUGCCUCACAGCUAGGGACAACAUUUGGAAACGAAUGCUAAUACCUGAUAUUAUGAUUUUAGGGCAUCCUAGAAUUAUGAAAGCUAUAUGCGCUGUGAGAGAGCUUUGCGUCCCAUUAGCUAGUUGGAGAGGUAACGGCUCACCAAGGCGAUGAUGGGUAGCCGGCCUGAGAGGGUGAACGGCCACAAGGGGACGGAGACACGGCCCUUACUCCUACGGGAGGCAGCAGUGGGGAAUAUUGGACAAUGGACCAAGAGUCUGAUCCAGCAAUUCUGUGUGCACGAUGAAGUUUUUCGGAAUGUAAAGUGCUUUCAGUUGGGAAGAAAAAAAUGACGGUACCAACAGAAGAAGUGACGGCUAAAUACGUG
This 454-nucleotide ribosomal RNA is filed under the name uncultured bacterium. Its description in RNAcentral is "partial 16S ribosomal RNA". It matches the Rfam family "Bacterial small subunit ribosomal RNA", at positions 28 to 507 of the family's 1533-position model. The record is from RNAcentral.